Molecule: transfer RNA, 70 nt
Filed under: Polyplectron germaini
Lineage: Eukaryota; Metazoa; Chordata; Aves; Galliformes; Phasianidae
Description: tRNA-Pro
Rfam family: tRNA
About the family: Transfer RNA (tRNA) molecules are approximately 80 nucleotides in length. Their secondary structure includes four short double-helical elements and three loops (D, anti-codon, and T loops).
Source: RNAcentral
CAGAAAGUAGUUUACUUGAGAAUAUCAGCUUUGGGAGCUGGAGAAGGAGGUUUAAGUCCUCUCUUUCUGA